RNAcentral lists this long non-coding RNA (3258 nucleotides) under Nicotiana tabacum (common tobacco). Its description in RNAcentral is "long non-coding RNA (NTAB_LNC013813)". Lineage: Eukaryota; Viridiplantae; Streptophyta; Magnoliopsida; Solanales; Solanaceae. The record is from RNAcentral.
UUACAUUUUUAUCCGCGCCGCUUGACACAAAAAAGGACCCCAACCUGAUCUUCUUCUUCAUGAAAAAAGCCAACAAGAAAAAACCCAGAGCUCUAAGGAAGCUUAAGCCGCAGCAGCCAUGAAAAGAAGCUCCACCCUAACUCUACCGCCUCUGUCGUCUCCCUCAUCCCCAGCCUCAGAAAAUCAGUAGCCAUCAGACCUCACUGCCUGAAACCCGCCGGAAAACAACCCCUUCCUUUCCAGUUUCAGUCACACACAAACACAACUGAAAAAACGACCUUAAUCCCAAUCAAAAGCCCAGCGGAAACGCGCUUGAAUCACCUCUGAACUCCAGCCAUUAGAAGCAGCGAAACAAGCUGCAAAUAGCUCUCAAACCGUUCAAGUACGAGCAGCUUUUUGAUCGUGGUUUGAGUCGCUGAAGUUGGGUCCGAUUGCCGUCGAGUUCGAGUUAGACAGAGUUUCCGUUCGUUAGCUUCAGUUCCGGUUCUCUGUUUUGGGGUGGGUUCGAUCUCCUCUACUGGGAUUUUGGGAAUGAAAACGUGGAUCUAGUCCGGAAUAUUGUCGAUCUAGAGAUCACCGAAGCUGUUACGCAAAAGUUUUCUGCAAGGCAAGUCCAAGUUCCAUUUAUUCGACCACUUACACAUUUCCUCUAAAAUUGAUUUGCUUGGAUUUAGUUUACGCAUACCUGUUUAUAUAUGUCAACGCUUGUUUUCUAAUUCUACAUCUGAUUUUAACAUGCUACUGAGCCUGCAUGGCCAGUGAAAUUGAUUAUAGCAUCUUAUUGACAAUUUAUGUAUGAUAUUUAAACUUUUCUUAUUAUUCCAUAUGGUGAUUUACUCAUAGUUACAUUUAGAGGUCUCAUGUAUAUUAUGUCAGAAAUUAUCUGUGUGGAAAUUAAGUGUUUGACAAAUAUGGUUUCGAGAAGCUUAGCUGCCUUAGCAACCUGCGUUUAUAUCAGGCACAAGUAGGAUUUACAUUCCUUUUCUAUUUUCAAAGGCUCAAUCCUAAUAAUUAUCUAUGCUUAAAAAACAAUUAGGAAGCAAGUGAAUUUCUUGCGUACUGAUGCAUAUCUUUUGUUUUGCUUAAUUUGCUUGUAAAGAAAAAUGUUUAAAUUUUUGGUUGGUAAAAUUAUCCAUCAUAACAAGUUGCUUAUUUGAUUGAAAGGAGCAAGUGAGUGAUUUCCAUAUAAAUUAAGGUAUGCGUUCGUCCAACUUCGAACAAACUUCCUUAAUAAUAAAAUUAGUUUUCAUAGGUUACUAAUACUCCGGGGUGAGCCAUCCACGUUUUAAUCAUACAUGGCCCUCAUAUAAAUUUCGUAUAAUUUAGAUAUUAAAAAUGAAUCUCUAGUAGUUUGCUUUAGGAGCAUUAAUUAAAUAAACCGUCAUAGCUACGGUUACGGUUCCCAUGACGUAGUUGUGAUGCUUAAUUUCCAAAUUCGGGGUACAUUUGUGUGACCCGGCCACAAUUUAAUCUUUUUAAAUAAAAUGAGUACGUUGUGGAUCGUGGGUACGGCUCUCGUGACAUGAUUCGCAAUCGUGCAAUCAAUAAUUAGUUGUAUAACAAUUGGAUUAUUAAAAGCGAUUUUAAAAGGAAUAAAAUGCACAUAGGUUUUAAAUAUGUAAUUAAUCAGAUAACUAAGUCAAUUAAUAAUAGUUGAGCAACCGUGCUAAAAUUACGGAACCCGGGAAUGCCUAACACAUUCUCCCGGGUUAACAGAAUUCCUGACCCGGAUCUCUGUGUUUUGCGGACUGUAAAACAGAGUCAAAAUUCCUCGGUUUGGGAUUUUAAACCAUUGACUUGGGACACCAAUAAACUAUCCCAAGUGAUGACUCUGAAUUUUAAAUAAAAUAAUCCCGUUUCGAUUGUCACUUAAAUUGGAAAAAACUCCCUUAUAUACCCUUUCGGUGGUAAAAAAAGAGGUGUGACAGUGGAAACAAGAGGUAAAGCAGUAGUUGAGGCUUGAAUUCUCUUCGUGGCAUCGAGGUAAGUGAUUGGUCUAACCUUAGCUUGAGGGAUUAGGAGUUGUAUCUUAUUUGCUAUGUGUUAAUUGUGGAGUACGACGUAUAAGCAUGGUGACGAGUAUCUAUACGUCGGUGUCAAGCAUACCCGUGAGUCUCGUAUGGUAAUUGUUGUGACUUCAUUAUAAUUUGUUCAUGCUUAAUAUAAUGAUUAUCAUUGUUAGUUCCCUUACCGGGAUGUCAUUGUUAUGAUAUUGUUUCCCUUGCUGUGAUGUUAUUGUUUACGAUAUUGUCUCCCUUGCCGGGAUGUUAUUGUUAUACUCGUGUUCCUUGCCGGGAUUCUUUUAUGAUUGAUGUUGAUUUUUCAAAUGGGAUAGGGUUGCACGCCUACAACAAGAUAUAUGAAAUGGGAUCGGGUGGCACGCCGCCACGGUGAUAUAUGAAAUAGGAUCGGGUUGCACGCCUGCAACAAGAUAUAUGAAAUGGGAUCGGGUGGCACGCUGCCACGGUGAUAUAUGAAACGGGAUCGGAUUGCACGCCUACAACAGGAUAUAUGAAAUGGGAUCAAGUGACAUGCCGCCACGGUGAUACAUAAAAUGGGAUCGGGUUGCACGCCUACAACAAGAUAUAUGAAAUGGGAUCGGGUUGCACGCUGUAACAAGAUAUAUGAAAUGGGAUCGUGUGGCACGCCGCCAUGGUGAUAUAUGAAAUGGGAUCGGGUUGCACGCCUGCAAUGAGGAAGAAAUGAAAGUGAAUAUUGUGUUUGUUUUCCUUAUUCUUGUUGGCAUUUAAAUGUUGGUUUCUUUACAUUCCUCUUUUGGUAUUCUUUUGUUAGCUGAUAUUCCCCGCAACAUGUUUUCCCCUCCCAUCUUUAGCUGUAAUUAUCUGCUUUUAUCUUUCCAUUGUAUAUGAUUUAAUUGCACAUGUUUAUUUGGUAGUCUGGUCCUAGCCUCGUCACUACUUCACCGAUGUUAGGCUAGGUACUUACCAGCACAUGGGGUCGGUUGUGCUGAUACUAAACUCUAAAUUGUGUACAGAUCCCGGUGCUACAACUUUUGGACCGCAGUGAGGUUGCUGUCUUCAGUCCAAUAGGCGACCCGAAGUAGUCAUGUAGGCAUCCACAGGCCUUAGCGUCUCCCUCUAUCUUUCCAUUCUGUUUCUUUUAUGUAUUUUAGAGACAACUUUGUACUUAUCUUUUAAACCUCUGUUUGUAGUAUUCGUAGAUAGUCCGUGACUUUGUGACACCAAAUUUUGGGUAGUGUUAUAUAUCGGAUUCAUAUAACAAUGUUUGGUUAAACUA